GGUAGCUGGGGACUUGGAUCCUCUCCUGAGCUAGCCUUAACGGAGCCUAGGGAUCAAUUGCUCCCAGCCUUUCAAUCUGAUCCUGCGGCCAAGAAGCUUUCAAAUUAUUUCACGCAACCCAAAGCAAUUUUGUUUGCCUUUUACCAUUCCCGCUCUUAAUCCACCUCCCCUUCUUCUCCGUGUCUCCCCCUAAUCUCCAGCUCUCUACAAAAUUCCCGCUCCCCUAAUCUGCAGCUUCGUUCCUCCAAAAAAAAAAUCCAAUUCUUGCAUGCAAUCUGGUGGCGGAGGAGGAGGCGGGCCCGGCUGGCCGUGCCAGAUCGACGUCAUCGUCCUCGACGCCGCAACAGGGUUUUGAUUCGGUGCAGCAUCAACAACAUCAACAACAGCAACAACAACAACAGCAGCAAUUGGGGUCUAGAUAGUUAGAGGCAUAAUUUGUAGAAAAGAUGGCUAUGGUUGAUGAAACCUUGUACCGAUCGCCGUUUUAAUCAAUGAGCUGAAGAACGAAGACAUAAAGCUCCGUUUGAACUCAAUCCGGAGGAUUUCCACGAUUGCCCGUGCACUGGGAGAAGAGAGGACCAAGAAGGAACUGAUUCCUUUCCUCAGCGAGAACAACGAUGAUGAUGAUGAAGUGCUGCUGGCAAUGGCGGAAGAGUUGGGGGUGUUUAUCCCUUAUGUGGGUGGUGUGGAUCAUGCCAACGUUCUGGGUUGAAUAUUUCAUUCCUUUGGUUAAGAGACUUGCUACCGGAGGGUGGUUUACAGCCCGAGUUUCAUCCUGCAGUUUGUUUCAUAUUGCUUACCCUAGUUCAUGAUGCAAACUUGUUCUUUGGACCAAGAUAAGUCUUGGCGUAUUCGGUACAUGGCUGCGAAUCAAUUAUACGAGCUGUGUGAAGCUGUUGGUCCAGAAGCUACAAGGUAGUCAGUUUAUUUUGUGGCUUGGCUUUUAUUGUGAAUACUGUAUUACUUGGAUUAGGAUGUUGUAAUUAUGUAAAUGUGAAUCGAUUGUCCGAUCUCUCUCUCUACCUACUUUGUUGAGUUCUAAAUUAAUUGAUAAGUGUGGUGAUGUUGAUAUA
Pyrus x bretschneideri (Chinese white pear) is the source of this 1073-nucleotide long non-coding RNA. RefSeq lists it as uncharacterized. The transcript is spliced from 3 exons. The record is from RefSeq and is a predicted model, not a curated record. Lineage: Eukaryota; Viridiplantae; Streptophyta; Magnoliopsida; Rosales; Rosaceae.